AUUGAACGCUGGCGGCAGGCCUAACACAUGCAAGUCGAGCGGAAACGAUCCUAGCUUGCUAGGAGGCGUCGAGCGGCGGACGGGUGAGUAACGCGUGAGAAUCUACCCAUGAGUGGGGGACAACCCGGGGAAACUCGGGCUAAUACCGCAUACGCCCUACGGGGUAAAGCAGGGGACCUUCGGGCCUUGCGCUGAUGGAUGAGCUCGCGUCGGAUUAGCUUGUUGGUGAGGUAAAGGCUCACCAAGGCGACGAUCCGUAGCUGGUCUGAGAGGAUGAUCAGCCACACCGGGACUGAGACACGGCCCGGACUCCCGUACGGGAGGCAGCAGGUGGGGAAUCUUGGAACAAUGGGGGCAACCCUGAUCCAGCCAUGCCGCGUGUGUGAAGAAGGCCUUCGGGUUGUAAAGCACUUUCAGCAGGGAGGAAGGCUUACCCCUAAUACGGGUGAGUACUUGACGUUACCUGCAGAAGAAGCACCGGCUAAUUUCGUG
This 492-nucleotide ribosomal RNA is filed under the name uncultured bacterium. Its description in RNAcentral is "bacterial SSU rRNA". It matches the Rfam family "Bacterial small subunit ribosomal RNA", at positions 29 to 507 of the family's 1533-position model. The record is from RNAcentral.